RNAcentral lists this ribosomal RNA (500 nucleotides) under uncultured bacterium. Its description in RNAcentral is "partial 16S ribosomal RNA". It matches the Rfam family "Bacterial small subunit ribosomal RNA", at positions 30 to 523 of the family's 1533-position model. The record is from RNAcentral.
AUUGAACGCUGGCGGCAGGCCUAACACAUGCAAGUCGAGCGGAUGACGGGAGCUUGCUCCUUGAUUCAGCGGCGGACGGGUGAGUAAUGCCUAGGAAUCUGCCUGGUAGUGGGGGACAACGUUUCGAAAGGAACGCUAAUACCGCAUACGUCCUACGGGAGAAAGCAGGGGACCUUCGGGCCUCGCGCUAUCAGCUGAGCCUAGGUCGGAUUAGCUAGUAGGUGAGGUAAUGGCUCACCUAGGCGACGAUCCGUAACUGGUCUGAGAGGAUGAUCAGUCACACUGGAACUGAGACACGGUCCAGACUCCUACGGGAGGCAGCAGUGGGGAAUAUUGGACAAUGGGCGAAAGCCUGAUCCAGCCAUGCCGCGUGUGUGAAGAAGGUCUUCGGAUUGUAAAGCACUUUAAGUUGGGAGGAAGGGCAGUAAGUUAAUACCUUGCUGUUUUGACGUUACCGACAGAAUAAGCACCGGCUAACUCUGUGCCAGCAGCCGCCGCAG